RNAcentral lists this long non-coding RNA (1150 nucleotides) under Chrysolophus pictus (golden pheasant). Its description in RNAcentral is "lncRNA (ENSCPIG00010011971.1)". Lineage: Eukaryota; Metazoa; Chordata; Aves; Galliformes; Phasianidae. The record is from RNAcentral.
CUUUGGUGCACGGGAGGGGGAGGGGGAAUGGGAUUAUUUCUGGAAGCAAUGGCUGAGCUUUCAUUUUACUGCAGGGGCUCAGGGAGGGAGAAAACUCUGCAGGGCUGCAGCACGGGGACAGAAUUGUUUGCUCUGCAUUUGCUCUGCGUGCAAACGAGGGUGUGGAGAGGGGUGCAAGUCUGCAAAUGCAACCACUGCAAAGCCCUGCCCCAAAUGCAAUCAGGUCCUUGCAAAAGAAGCCCCAGCAAAGCUCUGCUGCAAAUGCAAUCAACCCCUUGCAAAUGCAUCCAAGUCUGCAAAUGCAUCCAGGAUGAAGCCUGGACCCAAAUGCAUGCAAAACUCUGCUGCAAAUGCAUCCAAGUCUGCAAAUGCACCCAUAGCAAAACACUGCCCCAAAUGCAAUCAGAUCCUUGCAAAAGAAGAGCUAGCAAAGCCCUGCUGCAAAUGCAAUGAACCCCUUGCAAAUGCAUCCAAGUCUGCAAAUGCAUCCAGGAAAAAGCCUGGACCCAAAUGCAACCAGGUCCUUGCAAAAGAAGAGCUAGCAAAGCCCUGCUGCAAAUGCAAUCAACCCCUUGCAAAUGCAUCCAAGUCUGCAAAUGCAUCCAGGAUGAAGCCUGGACCCAAAUGCAUGCAAAACUCUGCUGCAAAUGCAUCCAAGUCUGCAAAUGCACCCAUAGCAAAGCACUGCCCCCAAAUGCAAGCAAAACCCUUGCAAAUGCAUCCAAGCCUGCCGUGCUGCAUUGCUGCUGUGCUUUCUGCACUGCUGCAAGGCUGCAGGGCUGCAGGGCUGUUCUGCUGCAAGGCUGCUGUGUCCCCCAUGCACUGCUGCUGUGCUGCAGCCAUGUUUAUGUGCUGCAAGGCUGCAGGGCUGCUUUGCUGCAAUGCUGCUGUGCUUUAUGCACUGCCACUGCUGCGCUGCUGCACCACUGCUGUGCUGCAGGGCUGUUCUGCUGCAGGGCUGCUGUGUCCCCCAUGCACUGCUGCUGUGCUGCAGUCGUGUUUAUGUGCUGCUACAAGGCUGCAGGGCUGUUCUGCUGCAGGGCUGCCGUGCUGCAUUGCUGCUGUGCUCAUGCACUUCUGCUGUGCUGCAGCCGUGUUUAUGUGCUGCAANNNNNNNNNNNNNNNNNNNNNNNNNNNNNNNNNNNNNNNN